UGGAUCCAGACUUUGAUUCUGGCUCAGGACGAACGCUGGCGGCGUGCCUAACACAUGCAAGUCGAACGAAGCUUGAUUUCUGAAUUCCUCGGAAUGAAGAAUGAUAUGACUGAGAGGCGGACGGGUGAGUAACGCGUGAGUAACCUGCCCUUAGGAAAGGGAUAGCGUCUGGAAACGGACGGUAAUACCAUAUAAAGUAUAUUAACGGCAUCGUAGAUAUACCAAAGCUGAGGCGCCUAAGGAUGGACUCGCGUCUGAUUAGAUAGUUGGUGGGGUAGCGGCCUACCAAGUCGACGAUCAGUAGCCGGACUGAGAGGUUGAACGGCCACAUUGGGACUGAGACACGGCCCAGACUCCUACGGGAGGCAGCAGUGGGGAACAUUGCACAAUGGGCGAAAGCCUGAUGCAGCAACGCCGCGUGAAGGAAGACGGUUUUCGGAUUGUAAACUUCUGCUCUUAGUGAAGAAAAAUGACGGUAGCUAAGGAGCAAGCCACGGCUAACUACGUGCCAGCAGCCGCGGUAAUACGUAGGUGGCAAGCGUUGUCCGGAAUUACUGGGUGUAAAGGGAGCGUAGGCGGGAAGCCAAGUCAGCUGUGAAAACUACGGGCUUAACCUGUAGACUGCAGUUGAAACUGGCUUUCUUGAGUGAAGUAGAGGUUGGCGGAAUUCCGAGUGUAGCGGUGAAAUGCGUAGAUAUUCGGAGGAACACCGGUGGCGAAGGCGGCCAACUGGGCUUUAACUGACGCUGAGGCUCGAAAGUGUGGGGAGCAAACAGGAUUAGAUACCCUGGUAGUCCACACUGUAAUCGAUGAUAACUAGGUGUGGGGGGUCUGACCCCUUCCGUGCCGCAGCUAACGCAAUAAGUUAUCCACCUGGGGAGUACGACCCCAAGGUUGCAACUCAAAUGAAUUGACGGA
RNAcentral lists this ribosomal RNA (918 nucleotides) under uncultured Bacillota bacterium. Its description in RNAcentral is "bacterial SSU rRNA". It matches the Rfam family "Bacterial small subunit ribosomal RNA", at positions 1 to 917 of the family's 1533-position model. Lineage: Bacteria; Bacillati; Bacillota. The record is from RNAcentral.